AUGGCAAGUAGAUAUUCAAAAACCUCACCUACCACGUAUCAGCUGAAAGGCCUAAAAUCCAACUCCCAACUCCAACUGCUCUUCAAUGAUUUUGCUUCUCAAGCCAGUGUGCCACAAGUCACAGGGCCCACGGUGUCCAGCUUCAAUAGAACUGUGCUGGACAGGAAGCCCAGGGGUUCCAAGAGCAACAGGGACCUGGCUUGGAGCAAUACCAAUUUUGGCUGCAAAAUCACCUCCAACCAGGCCUAUUCCAGCUCAGGAGUUCCCUGUGAUGCCAAGUUGGUAGAGAAAAACUUUGAGACAGACAUGAACCUGAACUUCCAAAGCCUGUCACUGACUGGGCUCUGCAUCCUCCUGCUGACAGUGUCCGGGUUUACCUGCUCCUGGUGCUGUGGCUGA
Non-coding RNA from Vicugna pacos (alpaca), 399 nucleotides. The record is from the annotation of a RefSeq genome assembly. Lineage: Eukaryota; Metazoa; Chordata; Mammalia; Artiodactyla; Camelidae.